Molecule: ribosomal RNA, 433 nt
Filed under: uncultured bacterium
Lineage: Bacteria
Description: partial 16S ribosomal RNA
Rfam family: Bacterial small subunit ribosomal RNA
Source: RNAcentral
AACGAACGCUGGCGGCAUGCCUAACACAUGCAAGUCGAACGAGACCUUCGGGUCUAGUGGCGCACGGGUGCGUAACGCGUGGGAACCUGCCCUUAGGUUCGGAAUAACUCCCCGAAAGGGGUGCUAAUACCGGAUAAUGUCUUCGGACCAAAGAUUUAUCGCCUUUGGAUGGGCCCGCGUUGGAUUAGCUAGUUGGUAGGGUAAAAGCCUACCACGGCGACGAUCCAUAGCUGGUCUGAGAGGAUGAUCAGCCACACUGGGACUGAGACACGGCCCGGACUCUUCCGGAAAGGGAGAGGGGGAAAGAGUGAAAAAGGGCGAAAAGGCUGAACCGACACGGCCGGGGGAGGAAGGAAGCCCUGAGGGUAGAAAAGUUUUUUUCCCCGGGAUAGUAAUGACGGGACCGAAUAAAAAAGCCCCGGCUAACCCCGUC